Molecule: ribosomal RNA, 495 nt
Filed under: uncultured bacterium
Lineage: Bacteria
Description: partial 16S ribosomal RNA
Rfam family: Bacterial small subunit ribosomal RNA
Source: RNAcentral
GACGAACGCUGGCGGCGUGCCUAAUACAUGCAAGUAGAACGCUGAAGGAGGAGCUUGCUUCUCUGGAUGAGUUGCGAACGGGUGAGUAACGCGUAGGUAACCUGCCUGGUAGUGGGGGAUAACUAUUGGAAACGAUAGCUAAUACCGCAUAAUAGCAGUUGUUGCAUGAUAACUGUUUGAAAGGUGCAAUUGCACCGCUACCAGAUGGACCUGCGUUGUAUUAGCUAGUUGGUGGGGUAACGGCUCACCAAGGCGACGAUACAUAGCCGACCUGAGAGGGUGAGCGGCCACACUGGGACGGAGACACGGCCCAGACUCCUACGAGAGGCAGCAGUAGGGAAUCUUCGGCAAUGGACGGAAGGCUGACCGAGCAACGCUGCGUGAGUGAAGAAGGUUGUCGGAUCGUAAAGCUCUGUUGUAAGAGAAGAACGAGUGUGAGAGUGGAAAGUUCACACUGUGACGGUAUCUUACCAGAAAGGGACGGCUAACUACGUG